CAGCCGCCGCGGGAAUACGAAGGGGGCUAGCGUUGUUCGGAUUUACUGGGCGUAAAGGGCGCGUAGGCGGGCGAUUAAGUCAGGGGUGAAAUCCCAAGGCUCAACCUUGGAACUGCCUUUGAUACUGAUUGUCUUGAGUUCGAGAGAGGUAAGUGGAACUGCGAGUGUAGAGGUGAAAUUCGUAGAUAUUCGCAAGAACACCAGUGGCGAAGGCGGCUUACUGGCUCGAUACUGACGCUGAGGCGCGAAAGCGUGGGGAGCAAACAGGAUUAGAUACCCGUGUAGUCCCUGUCUCUUAUAC
Molecule: ribosomal RNA, 301 nt
Filed under: uncultured bacterium
Lineage: Bacteria
Description: partial 16S ribosomal RNA
Rfam family: Bacterial small subunit ribosomal RNA
Source: RNAcentral